AGAGAAUUGCUUGAACCUGGGAGGAAGAGGUUGCAGUGAGCCGAGAUCUGCACUACUGCACUCCAGCCUGGGCAACAGAA
This 80-nucleotide small nuclear RNA is filed under the name Homo sapiens (human). RNAcentral's name for it is "partial ncRNA". Lineage: Eukaryota; Metazoa; Chordata; Mammalia; Primates; Hominidae. The record is from RNAcentral.